Molecule: non-coding RNA, 721 nt
Organism: Nothobranchius furzeri (turquoise killifish)
Lineage: Eukaryota; Metazoa; Chordata; Actinopteri; Cyprinodontiformes; Nothobranchiidae
Source: RefSeq, a predicted model, not a curated record
UGUACAUAUACUGGACAAACGGAUUCCAUUGGCUUCAAUAACACGUUUGUUGUCUAUAAUGGGAGGUGGCCACCACCGCCAUUUUGACCGUGUCACAGGUUCCGUCCAGCCCAGACAAUUCCAUAAAAGGGAAGAGAGGAGGCGCUGAGGGUGUGGCUGUAAGGCUGGGCUCGAGUGACGACACCCAGGCGAACUAGCUACGAGCUAACCUGAAGCUAACCCUGGCUAACCCAAAGCUAAAGCGGAGGUGGGAGCCGAGCUAACGGAUGUAGCCACCUAGCUUCAACCCAACCGGAGCUAACUGGAACACCCAUCGACCUGAACCUUACACGGAGUUUAGGUGGAGGUUUUCUGCGCCUGUUCGUGAGAAGUACCUGUAUUAAAAAAGUUUUCAAUCGAUCUGUUUAAAUGUCACCAUGGCAGCCUGUGUGUCUCCAACAUCAGCAAGUGUAAGUUUCACAUACCUGUCUCACCACUUCAUGUAUGGUUUUGUACUUUAAACAAUUAUGACAAACCUGUUAUUUUUUCUCCAUAGCCAUUUGGAUCAUUGGAGACAGCUGAGUGAGGCGUGGUGCCCAGAGAGCUGCAGAGACAACCUUGGCCUCCCUGACGUCUGUGUCUCCUGGUUCGGUUGGGGUGGACCAUCGACAUACAUACAUGUGCCGACACUUUGCGCCCUGUUUUAUAAAAUGUAGUGUUAAAAAUAAAUGUUUUUGCUCAA